RNAcentral lists this ribosomal RNA (474 nucleotides) under uncultured organism. RNAcentral describes it as "partial 16S ribosomal RNA". It matches the Rfam family "Bacterial small subunit ribosomal RNA", at positions 331 to 797 of the family's 1533-position model. The record is from RNAcentral.
GUACACUCCUGCGGGAGGCAGCAGUGGGGAAUUUUGGACAAUGGGCGAAAGCCUGAUCCAGCCAUGCCGCGUGCAGGAUGAAGGCCUUCGGGUUGUAAACUGCUUUUGUACGGAACGAAACGGCCUUUUCUAAUAAAGAGGGCUAAUGACGGUACCGUAAGAAUAAGCACCGGCUAACUACGUGCCAGCAGCCGCGGUAAUACGUAGGGUGCAAGCGUUAAUCGGAAUUACUGGGCGUAAAGCGUGCGCAGGCGGUUAUGUAAGACAGUUGUGAAAUCCCCGGGCUCAACCUGGGAACUGCAUCUGUGACUGCAUAGCUAGAGUACGGUAGAGGGGGAUGGAAUUCCGCGUGUAGCAGUGAAAUGCGUAGAUAUGCGGAGGAACACCGAUGGCGAAGGCAAUCCCCUGGACCUGUACUGACGCUCAUGCACGAAAGCGUGGGGAGCAAACAGGAUUAGAAACCCCUGUAGUCCC